This 252-nucleotide ribosomal RNA is filed under the name uncultured bacterium. Its description in RNAcentral is "partial 16S ribosomal RNA". It matches the Rfam family "Bacterial small subunit ribosomal RNA", at positions 525 to 776 of the family's 1533-position model. The record is from RNAcentral.
ACGUAGGGGGCAAGCGUUGUCCGGAUUUAUUGGGUUUAAAGGGUGCGUAGGUGGCCCUGUAAGUCAGUGGUGAAAUAUCUCAGCUUAACUGAGAGGGUGCCAUUGAUACUGCAGGGCUUGAGUACAGAUGAGGUAGGCGGAAUUGACGGUGUAGCGGUGAAAUGCAUAGAUAUCGUCAAGAACACCGAUAGCGAAGGCAGCUUACCAAGCUGUAACUGACACUGAGGCACGAAAGUGUGGGGAUCAAACAGG